This 98-nucleotide signal recognition particle RNA is filed under the name Spirochaetaceae bacterium. RNAcentral describes it as "signal recognition particle sRNA small type". It matches the Rfam family "Bacterial small signal recognition particle RNA". From Rfam's summary of the family: The signal recognition particle (SRP) is a universally conserved ribonucleoprotein involved in the co-translational targeting of proteins to membranes. Archaeal SRP consists of a 7S RNA and homologues of the eukaryotic SRP19 and SRP54 proteins. In most bacteria, the SRP consists of a 4.5S RNA and the Ffh protein (a homologue of the eukaryotic SRP54 protein). The record is from RNAcentral. Lineage: Bacteria; Pseudomonadati; Spirochaetota; Spirochaetia; Spirochaetales; Spirochaetaceae.
GUUCAGGUACUGUUCAAGAAACCGCUUCCGAACCCCGCCAGAUUCGGAAGAAAGCAACGGUAGGAAGAUGGUUCCUGUGUUCAGUUCACCUGGACUCU